Gekko japonicus is the source of this 283-nucleotide long non-coding RNA. RefSeq lists it as uncharacterized. The transcript is spliced from 3 exons. NCBI's taxonomy places the organism in Eukaryota, Metazoa, Chordata, Lepidosauria, Squamata, Gekkonidae. The record is from RefSeq and is a predicted model, not a curated record.
AGCUGACGCCAGGAUAGUCAUGACUUGCACGUGGGCGAGGUCAAGUGGGAAUUCUUUUGCACCUUGAGACCACGUGGCUCAUCAGUCAGCGACAAGAAUGAAGACUACCAGUUGGCGUACAGUGCGAGCCUAAAGCAGGAUCCACUGAAGUUAUAACUUAAAUCUGAAAUCAAGUCAGUUUUGAUAAUAUUGUGCAAAAGAAACAGAACACCAAAUCUUCCCGUUUGUAUGCCUUUUGUGAUGACAGGGCCUGCAAAACGGAGCUCUUCCACCAGGCUUUUGA